AUCGUUACCCGAGCCCAGCGCCGGGCCAAUGUCCUAUCUCAGGGUUUCCCACGUCGCUCGCUCCUUGACGGCUGACCGACACUGGGUCUGAUGUGUAAGCGCUUUCCAGGCCCUUCCCUGGGGCUUGGAGGGGAAUGGCGCAAAGGACUUUUCUUACAAGCAGAGAGGUUGGACUCCUGAAAGCCUGGACAGUGUCAUCAUCUUCACCUGAAGAGUGGAAAAAUUCAAGCAAAGAGUUUCUCAGGAAAUGACCAAGUAAAACAUCUGGAGUAAGUCAGCAGGAUUCAAAGUGACUCCCCCCAACCACCUGGUGGUGUUUCUCUCUGAAAGCAGCGCUUGGUACCAGUGUGAACUCUCUUCCUUCAGAAGUCUCAUCAGGUGGACGUAAUACGAGGGUCUGGUCCCCCAUACCUUGAGGACUCCGCUGCCCUCUGACAAUUACAGACAAUCCAAUUGUCCUCAUCCUUGAGGACUCUGCUGCCAUCUGACAAUUAGAGACAGUCCAAAACAUGCCACACUUUGAUCCUAAACACAUUCCUGGCUUUGGUCACUUUUGAAAAG
Molecule: non-coding RNA, 561 nt
Filed under: Pan troglodytes (chimpanzee)
Lineage: Eukaryota; Metazoa; Chordata; Mammalia; Primates; Hominidae
Source: RNAcentral